Molecule: ribosomal RNA, 207 nt
Filed under: uncultured bacterium
Lineage: Bacteria
Description: partial 16S ribosomal RNA
Rfam family: Bacterial small subunit ribosomal RNA
Source: RNAcentral
GGCGCAGGCGGAGAUGUAAGCCAGACGUGAAAGCCCGGGGCUCAACCCCGGAAUUGCAUUUGGAACUACAUUUCUUGAGGAUAGGCGGAGAAAACGGAAUUCUGCAUGUAGCGGUGAAAUGCGUAGAUAUGCAGAAGAACACCGGUGGCGAAGGCGGUUUUCUAGCUUAUUCCUGACGCUGAGGCCCGAAAGCUAGGGGAGCGAACA